UGGUGGAGUGAUUUGUCUGGUUAAUUCCGAUAACGAACGAGACCUUAACCUGCUAAAUAGCCAGGCGAGCUUUGGCUCGUCGCCGGCUUCUUAGAGGGACUAUCGGCUCAAGCCGAUGGAAGUUUGAGGCAAUAACA
This 137-nucleotide ribosomal RNA is filed under the name uncultured eukaryote. RNAcentral describes it as "partial 18S ribosomal RNA". It matches the Rfam family "Eukaryotic small subunit ribosomal RNA", at positions 1299 to 1458 of the family's 1831-position model. The record is from RNAcentral.